GACGAACGCUGGCGGCGUGCCUAAUACAUGCAAGUCGAACGCUUCUUUUCCCACCGGAGCUUGCUCCACCGGGAAAAGAGGAGUGGCGAACGGGUGAGUAACACGUGGGUAACCUGCCCAUCAGAAGGGGAUAACACUUGGAAACAGGUGCUAAUACCGUAUAACAAUCGAAACCGCAUGGUUUCGUUUUGAAAGGCGCUUUACGGUGCCGCUGAUGGAUGGACCCGCGGUGCAUUAGCUAGUUGGUGAGGUAACGGCUCACCAAGGCCACGAUGCAUAGCCGACCUGAGAGGGUGAUCGGCCACAUUGGGACUGAGACACGGCCCAAACUCCUACGGGAGGCAGCAGUAGGGAAUCUUCGGCAAUGGACGAAAGUCUGACCGAGCAACGCCGCGUGAGUGAAGAAGGUUUUCGGAUCGUAAAACUCUGUUGUUAGAGAAGAACAAGGGUGAGAGUAACUGUUCACCCCUUGACGGUAUCUAACCAGAAAGCCACGGCUAACUACGUGCCAGCAGCCGCGGUAAUACGUAGGUGGCAAGCGUUGUCCGGAUUUAUUGGGCGUAAAGCGAGCGCAGGCGGUUUCUUAAGUCUGAUGUGAAAGCCCCCGGCUCAACCGGGGAGGGUCAUUGGAAACUGGGAGACUUGAGUGCAGAAGAGGAGAGUGGAAUUCCAUGUGUAGCGGUGAAAUGCGUAGAUAUAUGGAGGAACACCAGUGGCGAAGGCGGCUCUCUGGUCUGUAACUGACGCUGAGGCUCGAAAGCGUGGGGAGCAAACAGGAUUAGAUACCCUGGUAGUCCACGCCGUAAACGAUGAGUGCUAAGUGUUGGAGGGUUUCCGCCCUUCAGUGCUGCAGCUAACGCAUUAAGCACUCCGCCUGGGGAGUACGACCGCAAGGUUGAAACUCAAAGGAAUUGACGGGGGCCCGCACAAGCGGUGGAGCAUGUGGUUUAAUUCGAAGCAACGCGAAGAACCUUACCAGGUCUUGACAUCCUUUGACCACUCUAGAGAUAGAGCUUCCCCUUCGGGGGCAAAGUGACAGGUGGUGCAUGGUUGUCGUCAGCUCGUGUCGUGAGAUGUUGGGUUAAGUCCCGCAACGAGCGCAACCCUUAUUGUUAGUUGCCAUCAUUUAGUUGGGCACUCUAGCAAGACUGCCGGUGACAAACCGGAGGAAGGUGGGGAUGACGUCAAAUCAUCAUGCCCCUUAUGACCUGGGCUACACACGUGCUACAAUGGGAAGUACAACGAGUCGCGAAGUCGCGAGGCUAAGCUAAUCUCUUAAAGCUUCUCUCAGUUCGGAUUGUAGGCUGCAACUCGCCUACAUGAAGCCGGAAUCGCUAGUAAUCGCGGAUCAGCACGCCGCGGUGAAUACGUUCCCGGGCCUUGUACACACCGCCCGUCACACCACGAGAGUUUGUAACACCCGAAGUCGGUGAGGUAACCUUUUUGGAGCCAG
This 1453-nucleotide ribosomal RNA is filed under the name Enterococcus mundtii. RNAcentral's name for it is "bacterial SSU rRNA". It matches the Rfam family "Bacterial small subunit ribosomal RNA". The record is from RNAcentral. Lineage: Bacteria; Bacillati; Bacillota; Bacilli; Lactobacillales; Enterococcaceae.